Molecule: ribosomal RNA, 418 nt
Filed under: uncultured Nakamurella sp.
Lineage: Bacteria; Bacillati; Actinomycetota; Actinomycetes; Nakamurellales; Nakamurellaceae
Description: bacterial SSU rRNA
Rfam family: Bacterial small subunit ribosomal RNA
Source: RNAcentral
GACGAACGCUGGCGGCGUGCUUAACACAUGCAAGUCGAACGGAAAGGCCCGCUUGCGGGUACUCGAGUGGCGAACGGGUGAGUAACACGUGGGUAACCUGCCCCCUGCUUCGGGAUAACUCCGGGAAACCGGGGCUAAUACCGGAUAUUCAUUGCCUGCCGCAUGGUGGGUGGUGGAAAGUUUUUCGGCUGGGGAUGGGCCCGCGGCCUAUCAGCUUGUUGGUGGGGUGAUGGCCUACCAAGGCUUCGACGGGUAGCCGGCCUGAGAGGGCGACCGGCCACACUGGGACUGAGACACGGCCCAGACUCCUACGGGAGGCAGCAGUGGGGAAUAUUGCGCAAUGGGCGGAAGCCUGACGCAGCGACGCCGCGUGAGGGAUGACGGCCUUCGGGUUGUAAACCUCUUUCAGCAGGGACGA